CAGCAUGGUCUUAGCUUGCUAAGGCCGAUGGCGACCGGCGCACGGGUGAGUAACACGUAUCCAACCUGCCGUCUACUCUUGGACAGCCUUCUGAAAGGAAGAUUAAUACAAGAUGGCAUCAUGAGUCCGCAUGUUCACAUGAUUAAAGGUAUUCCGGUAGACGAUGGGGAUGCGUUCCAUUAGAUAGUAGGCGGGGUAACGGCCCACCUAGUCUUCGAUGGAUAGGGGUUCUGAGAGGAAGGUCCCCCACAUUGGAACUGAGACACGGUCCAAACUCCUACGGGAGGCAGCAGUGAGGAAUAUUGGUCAAUGGGCGAGAGCCUGAACCAGCCAAGUAGCGUGAAGGAUGACUGCCCUAUGGGUUGUAAACUUCUUUUAUAAAGGAAUAAAGUCGGGUAUGUAUACCCGUUUGCAUGUACUUUAUGAAUAAGGAUCGGCUAACUCCGUGCCAGCAGCCGCGGUAAUACGGAGGAUCCGAGCGUUAUCCGGAUUUAUUGGGUUUAAAGGGAGCGUAGAUGGAUGUUUAAGUCAGUUGUGAAAGUUUGCGGCUCAACCGUAAAAUUGCAGUUGAUACUGGAUAUCUUGAGUGCAGUUGAGGCAGGCGGAAUUCGUGGUGUAGCGGUGAAAUGCUUAGAUAUCACGAAGAACUCCGAUUGCGAAGGCAGCCUGCUAAG
Molecule: ribosomal RNA, 674 nt
Filed under: uncultured Bacteroidales bacterium
Lineage: Bacteria; Pseudomonadati; Bacteroidota; Bacteroidia; Bacteroidales
Description: bacterial SSU rRNA
Rfam family: Bacterial small subunit ribosomal RNA
Source: RNAcentral